RNAcentral lists this transfer RNA (74 nucleotides) under Bacteroidota bacterium. RNAcentral's name for it is "Bacteroidetes bacterium tRNA-Gln". It matches the Rfam family "tRNA". Rfam says of the family: Transfer RNA (tRNA) molecules are approximately 80 nucleotides in length. Their secondary structure includes four short double-helical elements and three loops (D, anti-codon, and T loops). Further hydrogen bonds mediate the characteristic L-shaped molecular structure. tRNAs have two regions of fundamental functional importance: the anti-codon, which is responsible for specific mRNA codon recognition, and the 3' end, to which the tRNAs corresponding amino acid is attached (by aminoacyl-tRNA synthetases). tRNAs cope with the degeneracy of the genetic code in two manners: having more than one tRNA (with a specific anti-codon) for a particular amino acid; and 'wobble' base-pairing, i.e. permitting non-standard base-pairing at the 3rd anti-codon position. RNAcentral also lists the same sequence under 2 other names. The record is from RNAcentral. Lineage: Bacteria; Pseudomonadati; Bacteroidota.
UGCCCGAUAGUGUAAUGGCAACACACCGGUUUUUGGUACCGUUAUUCUAGGUUCGAGUCCUAGUCGGGUAACGA